CGUGUCGUGAGAUGUUCGGUUAAGUCCGCUAACGAGCGCAACCCUCGUCGUAUGUUAUAUGUGUCAUACGAGACUGCCGGUAAAAAGCCGGAGGAAGGUGAGGACGAUGUCAAGUCAGCAUGACCUUUAUAUCCAGGGCUACACACACGCUACAAUGGUCUGUACAAUGGGUAGCCAAGCCGCGAGGCGGAGCCAAUCCUGAAAGCAGGCCUCAGUUCAGAUUGCAGUCUGCAACUCGACUGCAUGAAGCCGGAGUUGCUAGUAACCGCAGGUCAGCAAUACUGCGGUGAAUACGUUCCCGGGUCUU
RNAcentral lists this ribosomal RNA (307 nucleotides) under uncultured Anaerolineaceae bacterium. Its description in RNAcentral is "bacterial SSU rRNA". It matches the Rfam family "Bacterial small subunit ribosomal RNA", at positions 1061 to 1382 of the family's 1533-position model. The record is from RNAcentral. Lineage: Bacteria; Bacillati; Chloroflexota; Anaerolineae; Anaerolineales; Anaerolineaceae.